CAGAAAUAGAAUCUCAAAAAUAUGUUACAUGAAAGGGUGAAGAUAGAAAUUUCCCUCCAAGAUUUAUAAUGAGGGGAUAGGUAAUCCACAUAGAUAAUGAGCCCAGUAUUUUUACAGAAUAAAUGAUGCCAGUCAUUUUUAACGAUCUUUCAUUUCAUACUUCAGCAGCUCCCUGGGCCUUUAAAAAUGAAGCACACGGCCACAAGUGCAUGCUCACACAGGACUGCCUGUCUUUUAAUCCGGCCUGAAAGUCAGGCCCGAAAGCAGUGCAUUUAAUAAGGGACAGACAUCAGUGGCUCGGGAAUGUUCAGGAAAAGAAGAGAGCUUGCUGAUGUGAACAUUCAGGAAAAAGAGAGCAUGCAAAGAGAACCUUUCUGACGUUUUUUGGCAAACAGGGACAAUGAAGGGAAAGACAAGCUUGAGGAACCACAGGGGCCGGGGAGUCACCAGCCCCUUGGGUAUGGUCUCCACGUUUCUAGAGCUGCAACCUGCUUUAAGACUGCAGAGUUUCUGCAGUUCUCUGACCUCCACGGCCCGCCCUGGCCACGUGGAGAACUGUCAAGUGGUAGCAUGAAGUGGAAACAAUGGAAUCAUUGUUGUGGUUUUAUAGAAACGCUGCUGUGAAUUGAGUUCCCUGCCUGUGCCCGGCACUGCACUGGACAGUGGAGGUACAGAGGUGGUGCUGUCACCGUCCUUCCCUCUGGAAGCUUACUCCCUGGUGAGAGAACGACAGGUAAGGAAGCAAGUGCCACUGAGUGACCUGGACAUCAGGAGAGCAGCGUGAACUGAGGGCUGCAGGGGCACCCAGGAAACAGUGGGUGAUUCUUUGGGGGAUGCUUUAACGAUGGCUUCGAAGAGGCAGUGAUACUAGCACAAUGAGGCGGAAGGCAGAGAAGGGCAUUGCAUUGUAGGCCAAGGGACCAGGGUGGGCAAAGGCCCAGGGGUGUGGCACAGCAUGGAGCAUUUGAGGGUUUGUGAGUUUGGGCAACUGGAGCACGUGGCUCCAGGCAGUGGCGAGGGGAGGUCUGGGAGGGAUGUGGCUGGAGUAUGAGGUUGGCUUGGUCGUGGAAGUCAAGCCAUAAGUUUGCAUUGUGUCCUAGAGAGAGUUCAGAAAGAGCCCUUGGCAGCAGGGUAGAGAGAUGACUUGGAGGCAAGUGAGACAGGAAGUAGGAGACUGUUGCCAAAGUCCAUGCGAGACAGCAUGAAGGACUGAACCAUGAUAAGGUCGUGCAGAGUGAAGAAGAGGCACGUCCUAGAGUGCUUGGUAACCGGUGGGUUGGGGCGUGUCUCUAGGUUCUGCUGGGGCAGCCGAGCCGAUGGUGGAUGAUCCCACAGUUCAGAGAGGGUCUCAGUGACCACGGGCGGGCUGCACAGGUACAAACAGAGAGAAUGUGUGCCUUCCUGCGUGCUUGGCUCCAGCUGAUGGUG
Molecule: long non-coding RNA, 1428 nt
Organism: Microcebus murinus (gray mouse lemur)
Lineage: Eukaryota; Metazoa; Chordata; Mammalia; Primates; Cheirogaleidae
Source: Ensembl